UCCAAACCUACUGUCAGGGGCAGGGACACAUUACACUAAAUCAGGUUGUUCAAAGCCUCAUCUAAUCUGGCCUGGAACACCUUCAGGG
This is a non-coding RNA of Sturnus vulgaris (Common starling), 88 nucleotides long. The record is from RefSeq and is a predicted model, not a curated record. NCBI's taxonomy places the organism in Eukaryota, Metazoa, Chordata, Aves, Passeriformes, Sturnidae.